UUGGGAAUCUUGCACAAUGGGGGAAACCCUGAUGCAGCGACGCCGCGUGGAGGAUGAAGGAUCUAGGUCUGUAAACUCCUUUUUCAGGGAAAGACUUAGGACGGUACCCUGAGAAUAAGCACCGGCUAACUACGUGCCAGCAGCCGCGGUAAGACGUAGGGUGCAAGCGUUGUCCGGAUUUACUGGGCGUAAAGGGCGCGUAGGCGGCUCGUUAAGUGUGAAGUGAAAUCUCCAGUGCUCAACACGGAAACUGCUUUACAUACUGGCGAGCUAGAGGGUCGAAGAGGUGAAUGGAAUUCCUGGUGUAGCGGUGAAAUGCGUUGAUAUCAGGAGGAACACCCAUGGCGAAGGCAGUUCACUGGUCGGCAUCUGACGCUGAGGCGCGAAAGCGUGGGUAGCA
RNAcentral lists this ribosomal RNA (400 nucleotides) under uncultured bacterium. RNAcentral's name for it is "bacterial SSU rRNA". It matches the Rfam family "Bacterial small subunit ribosomal RNA", at positions 355 to 770 of the family's 1533-position model. The record is from RNAcentral.